This 477-nucleotide ribosomal RNA is filed under the name uncultured bacterium. RNAcentral describes it as "partial 16S ribosomal RNA". It matches the Rfam family "Bacterial small subunit ribosomal RNA", at positions 30 to 507 of the family's 1533-position model. The record is from RNAcentral.
AUUGAACGCUGGCGGCAUGCCUUACACAUGCAAGUCGAACGGUAACAGGUUAAGCUGCCGAGUGGCGAACGGGUGAGUAAUACAUCGGAACGUGCCCAGUAGUGGGGGAUAGCCCGGCGAAAGCCGGAUUAAUACCGCAUACGACCCAAGGGUGAAAGGGGGGGAUCGCAAGACCUCUCGCUAUUGGAGCGGCCGAUGUCAGAUUAGCUAGUUGGUGGGGUAAAAGCUCACCAAGGCGACGAUCUGUAGCUGGUCUGAGAGGACGACCAGCCACACUGGGACUGAGACACGGCCCAGACUCCUACGGGAGGCAGCAGUGGGGAAUUUUGGACAAUGGGCGCAAGCCUGAUCCAGCCAUGCCGCGUGCGGGAAGAAGGCCUUCGGGUUGUAAACCGCUUUUGUCAGGGAAGAAAUCCUUUGGGUUAAUACCUCGGGGGGAUGACGGUACCUGAAGAAUAAGCACCGGCUAACUACGUG